UAUGGUCCUUUGCAGAAAAUGUUUGCCAACUCCUGUUCAAUGGGACUUUGAAUGAAAAGACAAGUUUUCCACCCCAAUAUAACCAAUAUACAAUGAUACAUCAUUUUAAAAAUGUAAUUCUAAAAAGGGAUUGUUGGGUGACACUCUUACAUGAAUUUUGUCCUAAUAUUGGUCUUUGUGAGGGUGGUGGCCAAUGCUCCUUGGAAUGUCCUGCCUAUUCUUUUUUCCUAAUGUGGCCUUACGUAAACUGAGGUCAUGGAAGCAUGAAAUCCAAAAUUUUCUAACAAGGCUUCCAAGGGUGGAUCUUAUUUGUUUCAGUAGAACAAAACUUGCUAUUCUAAUGGUCUCUCCACUUUUCCUUCUGCCUCUGAGCAAGAUGAAGAAAAAAAGAUGAAGCUGUUUUCCAGAGACCAGCACUUCAUCCCUGAGAAAAUGUCAAGAUUAUAGGCAUGCUCUAUAGAAGAUAAUGAGUUAAUACCGAAUGGCUAAAUCAGGGGAGUAUUUGAUUGGGGUUCCCAGAAACCAACAAGAUGUGGAUUCAUAUUCAAAUGCUUCCAGGAGAAUCAAGUAAGGAAGUUAAGAAAGAGAAAGAAAGGAAACAAAGGAAAAAAAUGGCAGCAUACUGAAACGGUAAAUGGAAAGGCCAUGUUUUUUGAGUGACACCAUUAGAGUAAAAACUAGCCAGAGGCAUCUGGUGGACAAGCAUCUGAGCCACACAGGAGGGAAGUCCUGUCCAUGAGAUGCAUUCACGUGAGUCCUGGAUUCAACUGCUUAGCUUGGCUCCACCAUGGGUUCUUCUCAAAAACCAACCUUACAAAGUUGUUGUAAAGGCUAACAAACAUAUUUAUUUAUAGAACAAUAUAAAUGAUAGGUACUUGAUAAAUGGUGGUUAUUUUAUUAGUAUGCUUAAGUAAUGGAGCUUAAUCCAUUCAAUCAAUUUCUCUAUUUUUCACAGAGAUAAGGAAAUGAGCUUUUUGACAGCUUUUCCCUGCUAUUAGAUUAGUUGACAAGAUGGUGUUAAUACACCCAUUCAACCACCGUGGCAGACACUGUAGUUCCCGGACAGUGAAAUUUUUGUUGCACCAAAUACGAUUAUUGUGGUUUUUGUUUACAAUGCUAUACAUGUUUGUUGUUUAUUUUAUUUAACUUUAGUAGAAAUGAGUUGCUUUAUUUAAAAAAAAUGACUGCUAAUUUGAUCACUGAAAUAAAAUUAAAUGGCAGUUCAAGAUGCAGACUUCUAACCAAGCUCUAGUAUUAAACAAUGCUGCUACUUUCCAAUUCUCACUACUCAUCAGAUGUGUUGUAUAUAUCCAAGAUUGCGGAAUUUGGGAAAAAAUAUUUUUUCAUUUAAGAUGUCAAGUGUAUUUUUUGAGUAGAUCAUCGUGAACAUUGAGAAGUUUUGGAUCAUUUGCCCAUAUAUGUUAACUGAAUAAAUGUACUGGAAAAAUCUCUCUCAGCAUUUUAAACUAUUGACUUGUUUGUUAAUGCAAAUUUAGAAUAUAUCAUGAGACAUUCUAUCCCAAGAUCUGUUGAAUUUUGUUGUAUUAUAGACCAGGGAAUAAACAAAAAAUCUACAAAUCCAAAAAAUAAGAGCAUAGAUGAGUAUUUUCAUAAUAUUUUUGAAAAUCUCUGAGAAAGAUGAUUUAUAAGAAAACAUAAUACUGGGUCAUUUUGUCUCCCAUCUUUAUACAACUUGGUGAGUUGAGUGUCUGUUGAGUUUUGCUGUAUAAUAGACCAGGAAAUAACCCAACAGUUCACUAUAAAAGCUUAGAUGGAUAUUUUCAUAAUAUUUAUGAAAAUCUCUGAGAAAGAUGAAAAGAAAACACAAAACUGGGUCAUUUUGCCUCUUGUCUUCAUACGACUUUGUAGGUGGUCAUUAAAAAUAAUUCCAUCCUAGUCCAUAUGAAUGCUGUAAUUUUGUUAAAUAUUACUAGAAAUAAUAGAGUUUAAAAUAUAAUACUUGUUAAAUAUUACUAGAAAUAAUAGAGUUUAAAAUGUCAUACUUAACAUUCUAAAAAGAGAAAAUUAUUAGGUUGGUGGAAAAGUAAUUGUGGUUUUUGCCAUUACUUUUGCACAACCUAAUAAGUUAGAUUAUCAUUAUUAUGGAACAUUAUCUUAUAUUAUUUCCUUCAAAAAGGUGUAGCUUUUCAAACGCCAUUAGACAUUAAACCCUUUUAACACAUGAGUUGUUUGUAUUUUGCUUUUCUAACAAGACAUCUAGAAUAUGCUACGUUUUCUACUUUAGCAUUGUUUCAACUUUGAAUAAUUACUUUCUGAUAGAUUGAAUGUAGGUUUAUUGAGAGGAAUUAUCAUUUUAAAUUGUUUUGGAUAUUUUUUCCUUUACUACUCAGCAAAUCAAAAACUAUUGUCAAUGCUCUAAUUAUGAUUUAUAGAGAUUAAUUCCCACUACCAAAGUGUUGAUCAUGAUUUUUUUUUUUUUACAGGUACUAAAGCAGGUGUUUUACCUAACAUCUCUGUGUUGCCAGGUUUUGCAGCCACUGAAGUUAUUGAUCACUUUUCAAAAAUGUCUCACUUUGCAUAUCGACUACCCUCCGUUGCUCCCUGCUAGUUUUUAAAUCUGCACUUUGGGGCACUAGAAGUGACUGAAAUAUCAGUUAAGUCCUAUUUGACAAAUACGUAUUUAGAGUAACCAAUUCAAUAGGGCCAUAAAGAAACUACGGGGUUAGUGCUAGUUAAUAUUGAGACAUCAGUUUUGGGAAUUUUGCUGUUUAUUGGUGGAAGCUACAACGAGAUUUUGUGUAGUUUCUAUUAAAACAAUAAAAUAUUAUCUGAUUCAUAAUUCAGUUCAAAAUACGCUUUAAUGUUUUGCUAGAUGUGUUGGACACUCAGCUUCUAUUUCCAUGGGCUGAAUAAUUGAUGUUUACAUUUCCCAGACAUCCAUACAGUUAGGGUUCUAAAAGUAAGUUACAUCUUCCACUUGGAUUUGGAACAUUUCCUCAUUCCAGGUUCCAGACCGCUAUAUCAACAGACUCGUAGAAUGUUACUGAACACACUGAACACACUGUUUGGUGGUGAACAGAUGGUGGCUAAGAAGUUGCUCAUGGUUCCUGGGAGUCCUAACCAGGGCCUGAUACGGCAAACCUUUCAAUGAUUUGUAAACUCCUAGUGUAUCUUAUCUCCUUAAAACACAUAAACACGUAAAACUGUGUCUCCUUAAAACACAGCAUGGUUUUGUUUUCACCACUGAGCCCAAAGUAAUUAAAACGAACUGCUAUCACAUUCAUUUGUGUGUGUGUGUGUGUGUGUGUGUGUGUGUCUGUGAUUUGCAAAAUGAUAUAAAUAGGUAGAUAACAUUGUUAAAUAGAUAAAGCCUUAGAAGACGAGAGGAUACAAAUUAAUAUUUAUUAUACCUGUGUUCACUACAACAAUCCAGUUUGUGUUUUGCACUGUAAAUCCCAAAAUGUGUUAUAUUAUUUUUGUCAACUAGCGUUGCCAACACAAAGCCAAUAUAAGUUGAUUUUACAAGAGUAUACAUAUAAUAUUUAACAGCUGGGUUUGAAAAUAAUUCAGGUUUUAAAGUUGGAAGUAUCUUCGCUUUUAGUAGGUAAAGAAAUAAAAAUCUGAGAGGAAGGAUUAGGUGAUGUAAUUUCUUCUGUUUGAUACUUAAAUUCCAUAAGAGUCUAUAUUUGAGAAAUAUAAAAAUAUUGCUGAGUAGCACUUUUCUGGGACUUUGAGAAGUGUGGGAGACAGAAUGCACUUUACGAACAUUUUUUAUGCCUUGUAAAAAUAGCACUACAUAUAUAUGUGUUUAACUCUACAUAGCAAUGAACUUACUUUCUCUCUGCUUUUUAUAUUCCUUUAUGGUUUACUACCUUAGGCAUUAAAUCAAGAAUUUAAUAUGUUGAGGGGAAAGGGUUGCAUAUCAAAAGUUUCUUUCUUCAAGCAAAUAUGUGGUGGAUUCCCACAUGUCUACUGAAAUAAAACUAGGGAAUAAUAUGUAUGUGUAUUACAAUAUUCUUUUCAAGACUUUGGCAGGAGAAUUAUUUAAGUAUGUCAUUCUAUCUUGAAAGCCAACUAUGGGUUUAUGAGGGGGAGGGGAAUACAUCUAUACAUUAAUUCUUGCAAGGUUAAGAAGUUUUGGGUUUGAGUCUCGUAGCACUAAUUAAAAUUUUGUGGUUUUCAACAAGUGAUGCAUUACAUUUGAUUUAUUCUGCAUUGAAGAAGAAAGAAUAUCAUCUCUCAUCUCAUCUAAUGUUUAUCAAUCGGGUUAGCCAUUCUAACAUAGAUUUGAUGUUUUUAAGCAUCUUAAUGCAUAGUUAAUUGCAAUUGGCAAAUAACCUAUAAAUGCAUUGUGCAAUGGGCCUGCUGGUAUGGGAUGAGGUCAGCGUAAUGCAUGGCGAGAGGCAGCUUAGCUUUGUGGCUAAACACAGGUGUUCUGCAUAUCUGGGCUCCAAUAUCUGGGUUCAACUCCUAACUCCAUCGAAUACUAACCCUUUGAUUUUGGGCAUGUCACACAAUUUCAGCUUCAAUUAUUUUCUGUAAAAUGAGUAUUAUAAUUGUAUCUACUUUAUUCAGUUAAUGUGAGGAUCGAAUGGGUGAUUCAAGAUGUUGAUGCAUAUUCUCUAAAAAGAGGAAUUCUCCACUCUUAAUUGAUAUCAAAGGUACGAAAAAAUAAAUAAUUCUGCCAGUGCAUAACCUCAUCUAAAUGAUAGCUGCCUGAAAAAUACCAGAUAGAAUCCUAAAAUAUAAAUUUAGGAUUAUAUUUUAAAUAAUGUAUACAGUAUCUCUUUAAAAUGCUGCUUCUGCUCGGGGGUAACUUUCCAGAUGCUGAUAGGCAAGGGGUCUGGCUGUGGGGCACAGGCACUUCAGCCUCCUCCCACAGCCUCUGAAUGAUGAGGCGCAGACACACCCAGCAGCAUGCAAAUGCCUUGCCAUCUCUAUAAUCCUGCCCUCCAUGUGGGGCAUCUUAUUCUGUUCUGGUUGUCAUAGUAAAAUGCCACAAGGUGGGUAGCCUACUAAUGACAGGACUUUAUUUCUCACCAUCGUGAAGCCUGGGAAGUCCAAGGUCCAGGCACAAGCAGAUUCAGUGUCCAGUGAGAGGGACUUUCUGAUUUAUAAAUGGUGCCUUCUUGCUGUGUCCUCACAAGAAUGAAGAGAAAAGUAGCAUUCUUGCACCUCUUUUAAGGGCACUAAUCUCAUUGCAAAUCACCUAAUCACCUCCCAAAGACCCCACUCCUAAUAUGGUCACCUUCCAAAGACCCCACUCCUAACACUGUCACCUUCCAAAGACCCCACUCCUAAUAUCAUCACAUUGGGGAAUAGAUUUGAACAUUCGGAUUUUCGAAGGAACACAAAUAUUUAGACCAUAGCAUGAGAUGCCCAUGUUAGAUUUGUAGCCAGACUAAGGCAGCAGGGAUGCUGGAAAAGGGAUUUCAGUGGAAUCUAGGAGCAAGGUCGGGCAGCCAGCAGUCUUGAAUCACCACCCCGCCACAUCCCUGUGGCCUUCCACUUCUACAAAGGAGGGCUCUAACCUGGGAUUCAGCCAACAGGCUUGGAAUCUCUCCCUCUGACCUCAUAUUUUGAGUUAAAGGAGGUCUUCAAUGUGAAUGCAGCCCUGUAGAUGGGGCAGUCUUGUGCAGAAGAUAAUCCGAAUACUGUUAUGUGAUAUGUCUGACCAGAGCCUCAUUAUUUACUCAGAAAAAUGGUUAUGCUAUUUGAUACGGAAGAAGUGAUUGAUAGUGUAGUUGCUUUCGGUAAAUAGGAAGGCUGCAGGUUGAUGAUUUCUUAGAUACCCAUGAGACUGGGUUCACUUCUAUAGACAUAGGACACACCAUUUUAUUGUCUAAAGAGCAAAGAAGUCCUAUUAUAUUGCUGAUUUGGCUCAUCCUGAUUCAGAGCCUAGAUGAGGCUGUACCUCCUUGAACUAUGUUCAUAUUUCAGGCAUCUGGGUAGAUCUUAGUGAAAAGGCAGUGGCACAUUUUCUUCUCUGAUGACAACCUCCCCUCUUUUCAGCUCUUCCACCCCACUACUCUUGGUGAACCUACUUUUACGUGCAUCAAAAUCUUUAGUCGUCCAACCACUCCUCCUCUCCAAUUCAUUCUAUUUGGCCUCCUGAUGCAAAACCACUGUAUUAAUAAAGUUGCUCUAAGCCCUUUAAACUAAUUUCAUGACUUAUUCUUCUACUAUAACUUUCUUAGGUGUUCUUCUUGCCUCUUGCACUUAAGAAGCAGAAAAUCAUUAAAGACUGUGGUAAAAGUACUGACGUGCUUAAAUAAAACAGUUCCAGCCCACCUGGUUUAUUACUGUUCAGAGUCAAGUAAACUUCUCAUUGUUGAGGGACUAUCUUCAGCAAAAAUUUCAAGUUUUUUCUGCCCUAAGCAAUCCUUCUAUAGCAUCUGGGUCUGCUCAGCAACUUACAACUUUCUACAAAUAAGAUUAACAACAACAGAGGACUCCUUUCACCUCACUUGAGAAUUUAUCUGUAUCUUCUUUGUGUCUCAGGGAAAGUAAUGUCUCUUCUCUUCUCUUUACUUAUCCUCCUAACUUGCCCUCUCCUACCUGCACCAGUCAUUCUGAUCUUCCACACUUCUUCACUUUCUUCUCUUGAUAAAGUUCAUGCCCAGAGAUUCUGUUCUACCUGAUUUUCAGUAAGUCCAUUUGAUUUGACUAUUCCUUUUUCCUGGGUUUUACUCUUACCUUAUACAUUAUCAAUUUUCCUUUCCAAAUCAUUUUGCUCUUUCUUCAAGAUAUGUGUACAAUGAUACUGCCCUAUCUUCCUUGAAAAUAAAACAGUAUUUCCAGCCAUUAUUGAAAAUACAACUUCCCAGACCAGUUCCUGAAGGUGCAGAUGACAAUGGGUCUAGAAUGAGGCCUAAAAAUAUGUAUUUCUAACAAGCUCCCCCCAGAUGCUUCUAUCAGUCUUUUUCCUCCUUCUUACUACAGUUUGGACCUGCUAUUUUCUUGAUGCUACAUCUCCUCUCUAACUAUUGUCAUAUUUGCCUGCUGUGCUAAAAUUUCUUGAAAAAGAGGUCUAUUCUUGCUAUAUUUAAUUUACCUUUCCCUUAAACCUACUCCAGUCAGACUUUCAGCUCCAUCAUGACACUGAAACUCUUUCUGUCAAUAUCAGCUGUGAUUUCCGUGUCAAUAAAUCCUACGGCCCUUAUUCAUUUCUUAGCUUUUUUGACAUAUCAUACACAUGUAGAUGUUACUCCUUCUCAUUGAAUACACUUUCUCUUCUUGUCUUUCAGAGUGCCACCGUAUUGGUUUUUCUACUAUCCACUGUUUGCCAUUCUUGAUCUGCUUAGUGCUUUCUCUAUGUCUUUUUGAUGUUUUAACAUUGCAGAGUCCCAAGACUGCCCCUAAACCUUUUGUCAUCUCUAUCUCUACUCAUUCCUUUUGUAAUGUUAUCAAGUUUUGCAAUUUUAAAUAUUAUCUGUACUAUGAUGACUGCUAAGCUUAUAUCUCUGAAACAGCCUACUCUCCUGAUCUUUGAAUUCGUUAUCUAACUCCCUGCUUAACAUCCAUCCUGAGUGCUUAAUAGACAUUGCAAAGCUAACAUGUUCGAAAAGUAACUUUAUGUUAUUACCCUUGGUGCUCCCUCAGUAUUUCCUAUUUCAAUAAAUGACUAUCUUCUUUUUCUAGCUAUUUAAGCAAAAACAAACAAACAAACAAAAACAAAAAAAAACAAAAAACUGGGGGUCAUUUUUGGCUUCUCUUUUUCUCAUAUUUCUCAUAGAAUCCAUCAGUAUAUGAUUUUGGCUCUAUCUUCAAAAUACAUCCAUAAUUCAACCAAUUCUCAUCACCUUCACUUAUUGCUAUUAUCCUGGUGCAAGUCACCAUUGGCUAUCUUCUGAAUUUUUGUACUAGUUUCUUAACUGGUCUACCUAUGUCCUCUCUUGUCUCAGUAAAAUGCAUUGUCUUCUCAACAGAGCAACGGAGAGAUCUUUAAAAGAGGUGCAAGAAUCUCGCGUUAUGGUCUGAAUAUGUGUGUUCCCUUAAAAAUCUGUAUUUUGAAAUCUAAUCCCUGAUGUGUUGGUAUUAGGAGUGGGGUCUUUGGAAGGUGAUUAGGUGAUUUGUAAUGACAUUAGUGCCCUUAAAAGAGGCAUAAGAAUUUUACAAAUCUUAUCUUAUAUCUAUAUAUUCUGUUCAGUAUAGAUCUGUUAUAUAUCUGAGAUAUAUAUGCCUGUGAUUAUAUAUGAUAUUAUGGUAUUAUAUAUAUAUAUAUCUCAGAUCAUCUCACUGUUCAAAACAUGCCAAUAGCCCCUAAUCUCAGUGUAAAAGCCACGUUCUUUACUACGGCCUCAAGAUCCUGCAUGACCCAGCUCCUCUUCACUUCUUUGAUCUUACAUCCUCUGACAUUCCCCUCACUUACUCUGCUGCAGCCACACUGGCUUUCUUCCUCAUUACUUUUCUAUCACACCAGACACACUGUUAGCCACAGGGCUUUUGCUGGUUUCCUCUGUCAGAUACAGUUUCUCUCCCCUCCUUGGAAAUUUGGCUUAAAGGUAAGAGGCUGCUCUUGACACUCAUUGAAACUUCCACCUGCCUUCCCCUUUUCUUUCUUUUCUACUUUUUGUACUCCAUAGCACUUAUUACCUUCCAAUCUAAUACCUAUUUUACUUAUGUACUUUGUUUCUUUUCUGGCAUUUUGCACAAGAAUCUCAUCUCCAUACAGCAGGGAUUUUAUAUAUUUUUCAAAGAUGUAGACACAGUGUCUAUAGUUGUACCUAGCACAUAGCAGGUUUUUAAUAAAUUGUAGAUGAAUAAAUAUCUUGCCUUUUACUUGGUUUUAUUGCUGUUUGGUUAUGUGUAUUUUUUUCUUUUGGACCAUAAACAGUGGUACCUGUGUCUAAACUUUUAUAAUUUCAAACCUCCCUAAACUGUACCUGGCAUUUAACUAGAUGUUCAAUAAGCACUAAUCAAAUGAAUAGAAUAAAUUUGCCUGUGAAGCACCAUUCUACAACCAAAUUCAAAACAGAAUUUAGAUUCUAUUAUUGUUAGUGUGAUACUUCAAAUAGUUAUCUAUAUUGAGUAAGUAAAAAUUUGGCAAACAUAUAUUACUUUAAAAUGAACAGUACAUUAAAUUUCAGUUCACUUUAUGUGAUUACAAAAUUGGGCAGGCACACUUUAGAAAUACUACUAUAAAAUCAUGCUUAUAAGAGAAAGG
Molecule: long non-coding RNA, 9127 nt
Filed under: Homo sapiens (human)
Lineage: Eukaryota; Metazoa; Chordata; Mammalia; Primates; Hominidae
Description: HSALNT0403578
Source: RNAcentral